UUAAAUCGAUUGGCAUGAGUAUUAUUGUCAAUACAGGAGGGCGUGAGUUCGAAUGCGCUGAAGCGUAUUAUCCCCUACUUAUGGGUUGGGUAGGGGCUAUGGAUAGUUCUAGAUAUUGUAUCAAAAAAAAUGAUCAGGACUUAUAAUAAGAUUGUUUAAAAAAAUAUUCACUUUUAUUUAAAAUAACAUAAAUUGGCGAAAGUCGGAUAAAAGUAUCAUGAAGGCUCC
RNAcentral lists this long non-coding RNA (228 nucleotides) under Gossypium barbadense (sea-island cotton). RNAcentral's name for it is "long non-coding RNA (GBAR_LNC017505)". Lineage: Eukaryota; Viridiplantae; Streptophyta; Magnoliopsida; Malvales; Malvaceae. The record is from RNAcentral.